This is a long non-coding RNA of Pollicipes pollicipes, 942 nucleotides long. RefSeq lists it as uncharacterized. The transcript is spliced from 3 exons. The record is from RefSeq and is a predicted model, not a curated record. Lineage: Eukaryota; Metazoa; Arthropoda; Thecostraca; Pollicipedomorpha; Pollicipedidae.
GUACGAUGUCAACAACGACGGCUUCAUUACCGAGGACGAAAUGCUGCAAGUGGUCGGUGCCAUCUAUCGGCUGAUUGAUACAACACAGUCGGACCACGUUUCACCAGAAGAAAGAGGGCAGGACCUGUUCACUAAAAUAGACGCAAAUCAUGAUGGCAUCAUCACCCUGGAAGAGUUCAUGGCAUACUGCUCAAAGGACGCCACCAUCAUGUCUGGCCUGGACAUGUAUAACCUGAUGUGGGAGACGUAGGAGUGCCGAACUCCACAGUGUGCCCGUCACCUCCAGCUGCCACAUCCGCAAGCCCGUGGCCGCCUGCGUUGACAGCCGCGAGGGGCUGCAGCGGUAUCUGGCAUGGAAACGGCGUUCGCUACGUUCACUCCACCACUUGCUCUGUUAUUUGUUACUGCCUGGCGUAUGCUGAGCUAGUCGUAAAGCACCGGACAUGGUCGGGCAACACGAAGUCUGUUCCAAUCUAUCGUCCACGCGGACGCGUUAAGGAUGCGUGUGUGGUGUGAUGCGCGCGCAUUGUAUGUGUAAGUAUAUUUUUCAGUGAAUGUGUUGAAUGGUUCAGGAAGUUUCGUGAAAAUGCUGCUGUCGAUUCAGAUCAGAACCAGCUGCAUGAAGCUACUGGUGCGUCAGUCGUACUAACUGGUUAUUGCAACGACGUUUCUGUCAGAGGCUUGCUCAUUCAGUUCGCUCUCGCGUAGUCCGGUCGUGAGCUACCAUGACUGCGGGUGACUCCGGCACUUGCUGUGUUUUGCUUGCUUGUGUGUAGUGCCCAAAGGUUCUAGAUACGCGCGUUUUUAUCAAGUAGUCAGGACAUAUACAGAGAUGCUGUGACGAGCCUCUUUGAAUAACCUCAUGCCACAUUCAGUUUAUCAUGUAGCGAGCACUGUGUUCAUCUUUCAUGUUCGGAUUUAUAAAUGUAUAUUGGUCAUUCA